GAUGAAGAACGUAGCGAAAUGCGAUACGUGAUGUGAAUUGCAGAAUUCAGUGAAUCAUCGAGUCUUUGAACGCACAUUGCGCCCCCUGGUAUUCCGGGGGGCAUGCCUGUCCGAGCGUCAUUGCUGCCCUCAAGCACGGCUUGUGUGUUGGGCCUCCGUCCUCCUCCCGGGGGACGGGCCCGAAAGGCAGCGGCGGCACCGCGUCCGGUCCUCGAGCGUAUGGGGCUUCGUCACCCGCUCUUGUAGGCCCGGCCGGCGCUUGCCGACACAUCAAUCUUUUUUCCAGGUUGACCUCGGAUCAGGUAGGGAUACCCGCUGAACUUAAGCAUAUCAAUAAGCGGAGGA
RNAcentral lists this unclassified non-coding RNA (345 nucleotides) under soil metagenome. Its description in RNAcentral is "partial contains 5.8S ribosomal RNA, internal transcribed spacer 2, and large subunit ribosomal RNA". The stretch from base 1 to 120 matches the Rfam family "5.8S ribosomal RNA", at positions 35 to 154 of the family's 154-position model. The record is from RNAcentral.